AAAGCGGUAAAAGCAGUCAAUUAGCACAUUAGGCACAUAUCAUGUAACAAAAUCAGAUAAAGUCAAAGACAACAAUUAUUCUAAGCUGUCACACCUCCUUUUUCACAGUACACCCCCCCAAAGAGACGUAAAGGAGUUUUUCCACUUAAAGGACAAUCGGAAUGGGAUUUAUUAUUAUUUAUUCAGAGUUGCCACUUGGGAGAUUAAUGGUGUCCCAAGUCACCGGUUGAAUCCCGAACCGAGGAAAAAGAU
Molecule: long non-coding RNA, 252 nt
Filed under: Nicotiana benthamiana
Lineage: Eukaryota; Viridiplantae; Streptophyta; Magnoliopsida; Solanales; Solanaceae
Description: long non-coding RNA (NBEN_LNC001303)
Source: RNAcentral